This 263-nucleotide ribosomal RNA is filed under the name uncultured bacterium. RNAcentral's name for it is "partial 16S ribosomal RNA". It matches the Rfam family "Bacterial small subunit ribosomal RNA", at positions 524 to 786 of the family's 1533-position model. The record is from RNAcentral.
UACGAAUUGUUAAAGCGUUAAUCGGCAUUACUGGGCGUAAAGCGCGCGUAGGUGGUUCGUUAAGUUGAAUGUGAAAGCCCCGGGCUCAACCUGGGAACUGCAUCCAAAACUGGCGAGCUAGAGUAUGGCAGAGGGUGGUGGAAUUUCCUGUGUAGCGGUGAAAUGCGUAGAUAUAGGAAGGAACACCAGUGGCGAAGGCGACCACCUGGGAUAAUACUGAAACUGAGGGGCGAAAGCGUGGGGCGCCAACAGGAUUAGAUACC